GACGAUCCCUAGCUGGUCUGAGAGGAUGACCAGCCACACUGGAACUGAGACACGGUCCAGACUCCUACGGGAGGCAGCAGUGGGGAAUAUUGCACAAUGGGCGCAAGCCUGAUGCAGCCAUGCCGCGUGUAUGAAGAAGGCCUUCGGGUUGUAAAGUACUUUCAGCGGAGAGGAAGGCGUUGAGGUUAAUAACCUCAGCGAUUGACGUUACCCGCAGAAGAAGCACCGGCUAACUCCGUGCCAGCAGCCGCGGUAAUACGGAGGGUGCAAGCGUUAAUCGGAAUUACUGGGCGUAAAGCGCACGCUAGGCGGUCUGUCAAGUCGGAUGUGAAAUCCCCGGCGCUCAACCGUGGGAACUGCAUUCGAAACUGGCAGGCUAGAGUCUUGUAGAGGGGGGUAGAAUUCCAGGUGUAGCGGUGAAAUGCGUAGAGAUCUGGAGGAAUACCGGUGGCGAAGGCGGCCUCCCUGGACAAAGACUGACGCUCAGGUGCGAAAGCGUGGGGAGCAAACAGGAUUAGAUACCCUGGUAGUCCACGCCGUAAACGAUGUCGACUUGGAGGUUGUGCCCUUGAGGCGUGGCUUCCGGAGCUAACGCGUUAAGUCGACCGCCUGGGGAGUACGGCCGCAAGGUCUAAAACUCAAAUGAAUUGACGGGGGCCCGCACAAGCGGUGGAGCAUGUGGGUGAAUUCGAUGCAACGCGAAAAACCUUACCUACUCUUGACAUCCAGAGAACUUUCCAGAAAUGGAUUGGUGCCUUCGGGAACUCUGAAACAGGUGCUGCAUGGCUGUCGUCAGCUCGUGUUGUGAAAUGUUGGGUUAAGUCCCGCAACGAGCGCAACCCUUAUCCUUUGUUGCCAGCGGUCCGGCCGGGAACUCAAAGGAGACAUGCCAGUGAUAAACUGGAGGAAGGGGGGGAUGACGUCCAGUCAUCCUGGGGCGGUGGGGAGUAAGGCUACACACGUGCUACAAUGGGCGCAUACAAAGAGAAGCGACCUCCCGAGAGCAAGCGGACCUCCUAAAGUGCGUCGUAAUCCCGAUUGGAGUCUGCACUCCACUCCCUGAA
RNAcentral lists this ribosomal RNA (1064 nucleotides) under Enterobacter cloacae. RNAcentral describes it as "bacterial SSU rRNA". It matches the Rfam family "Bacterial small subunit ribosomal RNA", at positions 275 to 1324 of the family's 1533-position model. Lineage: Bacteria; Pseudomonadati; Pseudomonadota; Gammaproteobacteria; Enterobacterales; Enterobacteriaceae. The record is from RNAcentral.